This 500-nucleotide ribosomal RNA is filed under the name uncultured bacterium. RNAcentral's name for it is "partial 16S ribosomal RNA". It matches the Rfam family "Bacterial small subunit ribosomal RNA", at positions 28 to 507 of the family's 1533-position model. The record is from RNAcentral.
GACGAACGCUGGCGGCGUGCUUAACACAUGCAAGUCGAACGGGUCUGCCCUGUUUUUUGCGGGGUGGGUCAGUGGCGAACGGGUGAGUAACACGUGAGUAACCUGCCCCUCACUUCUGGAUAACCGCUUGAAAGGGUGGCUAAUACGGGGUGUUCUGGCUGUGCCGCAUGGUGUGGCUGGGAAAGAUUCACUUUUGUGGUGUUUUGGUGGGGGAUGGGCUCGCGGCCUAUCAGCUUGUUGGUGGGGUGAUGGCCUGCCAAGGCUUUGACGGGUAGCCGGCCUGAGAGGGUGGGCGGUCACACUGGGACUGAGCUACGGCCCAGACUACUGCGGGAGGCAGCAGUGGGGGGUAUUGCACAAUGGGCGGAAGCCUGAUGCAGCGACGUCGCGUGAGGGAUGGAGGCCUUCGGGUUGUGAACCUCUUUCGCCGGUGAAGAAGGUCCUGCUCUUUGUGGUGGGGUUGACGGUAGCCGGGUUAUGAAGCGCCGGCUAACUACGUG